AGUGGGAGCACCCUUUGGGUGUGACUGCGUACCUUUUGUAUAAUGGGUCAGCGACUUAUAUUCUGUAGCAAGGUUAACCGAAUAGGGGAGCCGGAGGGAAACCGAGUCUUAACCGGGCGUUAAGUUGCAGGGUAUAGACCCGAAACCCGGUGAUCUAGCCAUGGGCAGGUUGAAGGUUGGGUAACACUAACUGGAGGACCGAACCGACUAAUGUUGAAAAAUUAGCGGAUGACCUGUGGCUGGGGGUGAAAGGCCAAUCAAACCGGGAGAUAGCUGGUUCUCCCCGAAAGCUAUUUAGGUAGCGCCUCGUGAAUUCAUCUCCGGGGGUAGAGCACUGUUUCGGCUAGGGGGCCAUCCCGGCUUACCAACCCGAUGCAAACUGCGAAUACCGGAGAAUGUUAUCACGGGAGACACACGGCGGGUGCUAACGUCCGUCGUGAAGAGGGAAACAACCCAGACCGCCAGCUAAGGUCCCAAAGUCAUGGUUAAGUGGGAAACGAUGUGGGAAGGCCCAGACAGCCAGGAUGUUGGCUUAGAAGCAGCCAUCAUUUAAAGAAAGCGUAAUAGCUCACUGGUCGAGUCGGCCUGCGCGGAAGAUGUAACGGGGCUAAACCAUG
Molecule: ribosomal RNA, 617 nt
Filed under: Salmonella enterica
Lineage: Bacteria; Pseudomonadati; Pseudomonadota; Gammaproteobacteria; Enterobacterales; Enterobacteriaceae
Also listed under: 1 other name
Description: partial 23S ribosomal RNA
Rfam family: Bacterial large subunit ribosomal RNA
Source: RNAcentral